AAAAAAUGCAGGCAAGAAGAUUAGAAAGUACCCAUUUUUUUUUCUUUUUUUCUCCCCGUAUACGAUCCUGACCACAAGAACAAGUCUUUAAAUAACAAGACACCCUGAAGCUCUUUUGGAUACUAAAUUUUGCAUUAUUUCUGAUAAUGGUUUUCUAGUGAGGUUUAUUAUCCUCCAAGGUUGCAAAGAUUUAUUUUCUUUUAAUGCCUGUAAU
RNAcentral lists this unclassified non-coding RNA (214 nucleotides) under Hevea brasiliensis (rubber tree). The record is from RNAcentral. Lineage: Eukaryota; Viridiplantae; Streptophyta; Magnoliopsida; Malpighiales; Euphorbiaceae.